Molecule: ribosomal RNA, 253 nt
Filed under: uncultured bacterium
Lineage: Bacteria
Description: partial 16S ribosomal RNA
Rfam family: Bacterial small subunit ribosomal RNA
Source: RNAcentral
UACAGAGGUCCCAAGCGUUGUUCGGAUUCACUGGGCGUAAAGGGCGCGUAGGCGGGCGAUCAAGUCAGGGGUGAAAGCCCCCAGCUCAACUGGGGAAGUGCCUCUGAUACUGGUCAUCUCGAGGGAGGUAGGGGCGUGCGGAACUUCCGGUGGAGCGGUGAAAUGCGUAGAUAUCGGAAGGAACGUCGGUGGCGAAAGCGGCGCGCUGGACCUCUUCUGACGCUGAGGCGCGAAAGCCAGGGGAGCAAACGGG